RNAcentral lists this ribosomal RNA (656 nucleotides) under uncultured bacterium. RNAcentral's name for it is "bacterial SSU rRNA". It matches the Rfam family "Bacterial small subunit ribosomal RNA", at positions 132 to 786 of the family's 1533-position model. The record is from RNAcentral.
UACACUCAGGGAUAGCCUUUCGAAAGAAAGAUUAAUACCUGAUGGUAUGAUGAGAUUGCAUGAUAGCAUCAUUAAAGAUUUAUCGGUGUACGAUGGGGAUGCGUUCCAUUAGGUAGUAGGCGGGGUAACGGCCCACCUAGCCAACGAUGGAUAGGGGUUCUGAGAGGAAGGUCCCCCACAUUGGAACUGAGACACGGUCCAAACUCCUACGGGAGGCAGCAGUGAGGAAUAUUGGUCAAUGGACGAGAGUCUGAACCAGCCAAGUAGCGUGAAGGAUGAAGGUCCUACGGAUUGUAAACUUCUUUUAUAAGGGAAUAAACCCUCCCACGUGUGGGAGCUUGUAUGUACCUUAUGAAUAAGCAUCGGCUAACUCCGUGCCAGCAGCCGCGGUAAUACGGAGGAUGCGAGCGUUAUCCGGAUUUAUUGGGUUUAAAGGGAGCGCAGACGGGUCGUUAAGUCAGCUGUGAAAGUUUGGGGCUCAACCUUAAGAUUGCAGUUGAUACUGGCGUCCUUGAGUGCGGUUGAGGUGUGCGGAAUUCGUGGUGUAGCGGUGAAAUGCUUAGAUAUCACGAAGAACUCCGAUUGCGAAGGCAGCACACUAAUCCGUAACUGACGUUCAUGCUCGAAAGUGUGGGUAUCAAACAGGAUUAGAUACC